RNAcentral lists this ribosomal RNA (517 nucleotides) under uncultured bacterium. Its description in RNAcentral is "bacterial SSU rRNA". It matches the Rfam family "Bacterial small subunit ribosomal RNA", at positions 8 to 518 of the family's 1533-position model. The record is from RNAcentral.
AGAGUUGAUCUGGCUCAGGAUGAACGCUAGCGACAGGCGUUAACACAUGCAAGUCGAGGGGCGAGCAUAAAAGUAGCAAUACUUGGUGGCGACCGGCGCACGGGUGAGUAACGCGUAUGCAACCUACCUAUCAGAGGGGAAUAACCCGGCGAAAGUCGGACUAAUACCGCAUAAAACAGGGGCGCCGCAUGGUGAUAUUUGUUAAAGAGAUUCGCUGAUAGAUGGGCAUGCGUUCCAUUAGGUAGUUGGUGAGGUAACGGCUCACCAAGCCGACGAUGGAUAGGGGAACUGAGAGGUUGGUCCCCCACACUGGUACUGAGACACGGACCAGACUCCUACGGGAGGCAGCAGUGAGGAAUAUUGGUCAAUGGGCGGGAGCCUGAACCAGCCAAGUCGCGUGAAGGAAGAAGGAUCUAUGGUUCGUAAACUUCUUUUGCAGGGGAAUAAAGUGCAGGACGUGUCCUGUUUUGUAUGUACCCUGAGAAUAAGGAUCGGCUAACUCCGUGCCAGCAGCCGC